UACAGAGGUCCCAAGCGUUGUUCGGAUUCAUUGGGCGUAAAGGGUGCGUAGGCGGCGCGGUAAGUCGGGUGUGAAAUCUCGGGGCUUAACUCCGAAACUGCAUUCGAUACUGCCGUGCUUGAGGACUGGAGAGGAGACUGGAAUUUACGGUGUAGCGGUGAAAUGCGUAGAUAUCGUAAGGAAGACCAGUGGCGAAGGCGGGUCUCUGGACAGUUCCUGACGCUGAGACGCGAAAGCGUGGGGAGCAAACAGG
RNAcentral lists this ribosomal RNA (253 nucleotides) under uncultured bacterium. RNAcentral describes it as "partial 16S ribosomal RNA". It matches the Rfam family "Bacterial small subunit ribosomal RNA", at positions 524 to 776 of the family's 1533-position model. The record is from RNAcentral.